Notolabrus celidotus (New Zealand spotty) is the source of this 441-nucleotide non-coding RNA. The record is from the annotation of a RefSeq genome assembly. NCBI's taxonomy places the organism in Eukaryota, Metazoa, Chordata, Actinopteri, Labriformes, Labridae.
UCUGCUCUCAGACGUUAAGAGGACAGUGUGGAUCAGGUUUCCAGGCCUUUCAGAGACACCGACACAGCCGCAGCAACAAUGAUGAUGAUGUCACUGAUCCUGCUUCUGCUCACCCCGGGGCUCCUUGUUCAGGGUUCAUCAGGAGACAUCCUCCUGACUCAGACUCCUGGAUCUCAGUCUGUGGUUCCAGGACAGACCGUCUCCCUCAGAUGUCAAACCAGUUCAAGUGUUAGUAGCUGGCUCCACUGGUACCUUCAGAAACCUGGAGAAGCUCCUGAACUCCUGAUUUAUAAAGCUACAAACCGCCAGUCUGGAGUUUCAGAUCGUUUCAGUGGAAGUGGAUCUGGAUCUGACUUCACCCUGACUAUCAGAGGAGUCCAGGCUGAAGAUUCAGGAGUUUAUUUCUGUCAGCAGAGUUACAGCUACCCGUUCACACAGUGA